GAUGAACGCUAGCUACAGGCUUAACACAUGCAAGUCGAGGGGUAACAAGAGGAAAGCUUGCUUUUCUUGUUGACGACCGGCGCACGGGUGAGUAACGCGUAUCCAACCUGCCUAUAACUAGGGAAUAACCUUGCGAAAGUAAGACUAAUACCCUAUGAUUUCCUUUGAUGACAUCAGAGUAGGAAUAAAGAUUUAUCUGUUAUAGAUGGGGACGCGUCGGAUUAGCUUGUUGGCGGGGUAACGGCCAACCAAGGCAACGAUCAGUAGGGGUUCUGAGAGGAAGGUCCCCCACAUUGGAACUGAGACACGGUCCAAACUCCUACGGGAGGCAGCAGUGAGGAAUAUUGGUCAAUGGGCGGAAGCCUGAACCAGCCAAGUAGCGUGCAGGAUGACGGCCCUAUGGGUUGUAAACUGCUUUUAUACAGGAAUAAAGUUAGCCACGUGUGGUUAUUUGUAGGUACUGUAUGAAUAAGGACCGGCUAAUUCCGUGCCAGCCGCCGCCGUAA
Molecule: ribosomal RNA, 506 nt
Filed under: uncultured bacterium
Lineage: Bacteria
Description: partial 16S ribosomal RNA
Rfam family: Bacterial small subunit ribosomal RNA
Source: RNAcentral